Molecule: ribosomal RNA, 374 nt
Filed under: uncultured alga
Lineage: Eukaryota
Description: bacterial SSU rRNA
Rfam family: Bacterial small subunit ribosomal RNA
Source: RNAcentral
GCCUGUGGGUUGUAAACCUCUUUUCUCAAGGAAGAAGUUCUGACGGUACUUGAGGAAUAAGCAUCGGCUAACUCUGUGCCAGCAGCCGCGGUAAUACAGAGGAUGCAAGCGUUAUCCGGAAUCACUGGGCAUAAAGCGUCUGUAGGUUGCUUAUCAAGUCUGCUGUUAAAGACCAGGGCCUAACCCUGGGAAAGCAGUGGAAACUAGUAGGCUUGAGUGUGGUAGAGGUAGAGGGAAUUCCUGGUGUAGCGGUGAAAUGCGUAGAUAUUAGGAAGAACACCAACGGCGAAAGCACUCUACUGGGCCAUAACUGACACUGAGAGACGACAGCUAGGGGAGCAAAUGGGAUUAGAUACCCCAGUAGUCCUAGCCGU